RNAcentral lists this ribosomal RNA (764 nucleotides) under Shanorella spirotricha. RNAcentral describes it as "SSU rRNA". It matches the Rfam family "Bacterial small subunit ribosomal RNA", at positions 370 to 1210 of the family's 1533-position model. The record is from RNAcentral. Lineage: Eukaryota; Fungi; Ascomycota; Eurotiomycetes; Onygenales.
AAUGACCUAACGGUUGAACCAGCAACUUGGAAGAAUGAAAAUGUAUUAAUAAAGAUUAAUACAGUUAACGUAUAGACGUAUAAAAUUCUAUAUAGAUUAAUGAUAAUGACAAUUAUCUAUUUAUUAGUCUUGACCAAUACUACGUGCCAGCAGUCGCGGUAAUACGUAAGAGACAAGUGUAAGUCAUCUUUAUUAGGUUUAAAGGGUACAUAGACGGAAAAUUAAACCUUAAAAGGGUACUUUUUUUCUAGAGUUUUAUGUGAGAAGGAGUGAAUUUUUGGAGAAAAGAUAAAAUUUAUUAAUAUCAAAAAGACAGGUAAUAGCUAAUACUGCCUUCUUUGUAAAAACUGACGUUGAGGUACGAAGGCUUGGGUAACGAUAAGGAUUAGUUACCCUAGUAGUCCAAGCAGAAAAUUCUGAAUGUCAUAAUCUAAAAAUAAUUUUAGCUUAUAAAUAAAAGUGUAAGCAUUCCACCUCAAGAGUACAAUGGCAACAUUAAAACUGAAAUCAUUAGACCGUCUCUGAAACCAGUAGUGAAGUAUGCUAUUUAAUUCGAUAAUCCGCGAUAAAUCUUACCACAAUUUGAAUAAUAUUUAAAAAUAUUACAAGCGCUGCACGGCUGUCUUUAGUUAAUGUCGUGAGAUCAGGUUAAUUCCUACAAUUAGCGAAAACCUUGGUUUUAUUUAAGUGUAUAAUAUACCUUGCCGUUAUACCGGACUAUCUAUACAUAGGAUCAAGACAAGUCAUCAUGGCCAAAAUAUUGU